Long non-coding RNA from Spinacia oleracea (spinach), 878 nucleotides. RefSeq lists it as uncharacterized. The record is from RefSeq and is a predicted model, not a curated record. The transcript has 2 exons. Lineage: Eukaryota; Viridiplantae; Streptophyta; Magnoliopsida; Caryophyllales; Amaranthaceae.
CCGAAUUAAAUUUAAAAUUUUACCAACCGACUAUUUGAAUAAUUUAUCGACUGUGUUUUAGUUGGUCGUUAAAAUACCGACCGUAUUUUAUACGGUCGUUAAAAUACCGACCGCUUUUACCGACCGCCAAGAGUAUUUAUUUAUUUUUAAAAAGAUUUUCCUAGCUAGAAACCCUAAGAAACUCCUCCUAAUCUCUACCCACGUUUGUACGUCGUAUCCCUCCCUAUUUUCUUUCUCUCUCUUCAACUUCCCUCAUCUCCCCUUCUCUUUCUCUCUCUUCAACCUCCCUCAAUCUCUCUCUCAUCUUUCUUUUUUUCUUCUGUCACUCAUCUCUCUUCAACGUCCUUCAAUCUCUCCUCUCUCGUCUUUUUUUUCGUCACUCAUUAAAAUUGAUAUUGCAAGCAGUAACGACUUCCGUUUCUAUUUUUUUUCAAUUUCAAUUCUUUUAUUUAAUUAAUUUCAAUGAUUUGAUUUUUUCUCUUUUUAUAUUUUUGUGUUUGAAUUUUAAAUCUGAUGAGUUUGUGUGUGCUGAAUUUUUAUGUAGGUGAAGAAUUUGAGUAGAUCUUCGAUAUGAUGGAGUUAAGCAUUGGAGAACAAAGCUCUAAAGAGAAGAUCUGACAGAGAAUUACUUGGAGGUGAAGAAGGAGAAUAGAUCUAUGUGUUUUCACAAUAAGGGAUUUAAUCUCGACAUUUGUUGAUACCAAGAACCGUUGAUUUGAUAAAUUUGGGAAGAAGUUGGAAGGAAAUAACUUCAAGCAUACAUAGUCUGAGGUUUAUAUUUAGUUUUAGAUCGAUUUUUUUUAGAAUUAUUCUUACUCAUCUUUGUAAUUGUAAUUCAAGUGAAUUGUGUCAUAAUAAAAGUUCCUUUUUUUACUUUA